This 400-nucleotide unclassified non-coding RNA is filed under the name uncultured fungus. RNAcentral's name for it is "sequence contains ITS1". The stretch from base 1 to 105 matches the Rfam family "5.8S ribosomal RNA", at positions 50 to 154 of the family's 154-position model. Lineage: Eukaryota; Fungi. The record is from RNAcentral.
GAAAUGCGAUAAGUAAUGCGAAUUGCAGAAUUCAGUGAAUCAUCAAAUCUUUGAACGCAAAUUGCACUCUCGGGUGUUCCUGGGAGUACGCUUCUUUCAGUAUCGGUUCUAUCUAAACUCGACUGCGUUUUGUUCACACAAGGCGUUCUGUCGGAUAUUGAGUGUCACAGUUUCCUUUCCGAAGACUGUGUUACUUGAAAGAUAGAGAGGCUCAUCUCACACUAUCGGUCUUCACUCUAUGGUUCUACUUCGUUUCUCUUCCUUAACUGGGAGGGGACUGGAGCAAUCUAAGUGACGUGGUUAAGCUCGCCUUCGUGCGACUCCCCAUCGUCAAUUAUCUUAGUGCGCAUCAGUUUUGGCGUCGAAGAGCUUGUGUUGAUUGGUGAGUUUUUGAUACUGA